This 304-nucleotide unclassified non-coding RNA is filed under the name Hevea brasiliensis (rubber tree). Lineage: Eukaryota; Viridiplantae; Streptophyta; Magnoliopsida; Malpighiales; Euphorbiaceae. The record is from RNAcentral.
GAUAAUGCAAAACGAACUAAAGAAUACAAAGCUGAAAAUUUCCGAAGCUGAAGCAGCAGUAGAACACAUUGUGGAUCUCACAAAUAAAUUGGUAAUCUCCAUCAAAGAUGGCGACGACGACGUUUUGAAAUUGAACGAUGACCUUAGCCUCAAUCUACAGCAGCAGUUAUUCAAGAAACCUACUGAUAAUAUAAGGCUACAGAAGAAACAGCUCGAAACCGAGCUAGAGCUCACCAAGGAAAGCUUGAGACAAAAAGAAAUGGAAAUUCUAGCUGCAGAAAGAGCCUUGACCGUUAAAGACGAG